This 490-nucleotide ribosomal RNA is filed under the name uncultured bacterium. RNAcentral's name for it is "partial 16S ribosomal RNA". It matches the Rfam family "Bacterial small subunit ribosomal RNA", at positions 30 to 507 of the family's 1533-position model. The record is from RNAcentral.
AUUGAACGCUGGCGGCAGGCCUAACACAUGCAAGUCGAACGGUAACAGGAAACAGCUUGCUGUUUCGCUGACGAGUGGCGGACGGGUGAGUAAUGUCUGGGAAACUGCCUGAUGGAGGGGGAUAACUACUGGAAACGGUAGCUAAUACCGCAUAACGUCGCAAGACCAAAGAGGGGGACCUUCGGGCCUCUUGCCAUCGGAUGUGCCCUGAUGGGAUUAGCUAGUAGGUGGGGUAACGGCUCACCUAGGCGACGAUCCCUAGCUGGUCUGAGAGGAUGACCAGCCACACUGGAACUGAGACACGGUCCAGACUCCUACGGGAGGCAGCAGUGGGGAAUAUUGCACAAUGGGCGCAAGCCUGAUGCAGCAAUGCCGCGUGUAUGAAGAAGGCCUUCGGGUUGUAAAGUACUUUCAGCGGGGAUGAAGGGAGUAAAGUGAAUACCUUUGCUCAUUGACGUUACCCGCAGAAGAAGCACCGGCUAACUCCGUG